AGGACGAACGCUGGCGGCGUGCUUAACACAUGCAAGUCGAGCGGUAAGGCCCUUCGGGGUACACGAGCGGCGAACGGGUGAGUAACACGUGGGUAACCUGCCCUGUACUGUGGGAUAAGCCUGGGAAACUGGGUCUAAUACCGCAUAUAACCCUGCCAUGCAUGUGGUGGGGUGGAAAGUUCUGGCGGUACAGGAUGGGCCCGCGGCCUAUCAGCUUGUUGGUGGGGUGAUGGCCUACCAAGGCGACGACGGGUA
Molecule: ribosomal RNA, 255 nt
Filed under: uncultured bacterium
Lineage: Bacteria
Description: partial small subunit ribosomal RNA
Rfam family: Bacterial small subunit ribosomal RNA
Source: RNAcentral